GCCUGGGUGGCUCAGUUGGUUGAGUGUCUGACUUUGGCUCAGGCCAUGAUCUCACAGUUUGUGAGUUCAAGCCCCACGUCGGGCU
Felis catus (domestic cat) is the source of this 85-nucleotide transfer RNA. It matches the Rfam family "tRNA". Rfam says of the family: Transfer RNA (tRNA) molecules are approximately 80 nucleotides in length. Their secondary structure includes four short double-helical elements and three loops (D, anti-codon, and T loops). NCBI's taxonomy places the organism in Eukaryota, Metazoa, Chordata, Mammalia, Carnivora, Felidae. The record is from Rfam.